AAUUAAUGGUAUUUUAUAUAUUAUGAACAAUAGUGCAAGGAGCAGCAAUCCAAUAAACAGAAAGAUUUCAUAUAUUUAAUCAACUCGGUUGCAUUACAUGGAACACAAUCUGAAAAAGAUAGUACAUGAUCUCCUACAUAUUAAGCAUGAAAAUGACAUUGUAUAAGGUAAAUCUAAAACUAUCUUGUAUUAGCCCCAUUCUACACCUUUCCUAUCAACAACUUAGCCAUGCAUCAUCUUCGUCUUCAUCACCCUUCAUGCUGGAUGACAAGCUUCUCUAUGAACUUCCCGAGGAUGCCUUCUAUGACAUUGUUAUAGCAUGAACGACCACCACCCUGCCCAUUGUUCAGUACUGGAACUGACUGGCAGUGCGCCACUACAACAGAUUAAAUAGACAAAGUGAAAAUUCAGCAUGAGGAGAUGGAAGCCACAUGUACCACUUAAAUAUUCUAGGAUUGAUUAUUUAUAGAACGAACGCUCACAUCAGUUCAGUGUACUAUAAAUGACCAAGAAAAUCCUUGUCAUUCCUUAUUCCUAGCAGAUGCUCGAUUUAAUUGUAACAAGAAUGUAUAACUGUGUACUAGGCGUGCCACUCUGUUAGGCACUCCUAUUUUUUCCCUCAACAUUUUUCUUCUCUUUUGCCAUAUGUCGCAAGCGAAACACAUAUAUUAAGAUCAUAUAUCCAAUAUAUAGACAUUCAUGUCGUAAUUAACAUGGUUCCCUCUUAGUACAAAAAGAGAAGUCUCAUCCUAAGAUCAAAGAUUAGUGACAUUAAGGCAUCUAGAUUAUAGUAUACACAAAAACUGUAAAUUGUAUACUGCAAUUGGAUAGCUGCAAGUAACAGCCCCAAAACUGGGUUAUCAAUUUUUGAGCUGUUAUUCCUUCCUGGCACUCAUUUUCAAAAUUUUCUCCUGAGUUUGCUGGAUGACUCUGAGAAAUUUUUGCCAUUUCCAACCUUUCAAAACCAUGCUAUGUCUUUUUCAGUGGGCAAGACCUCAUUUGCCUCAGCUCAAACCCUCUCAAACCCUAAUUCUAAAUUAUUGGAAUUUAAAGAUGGACUUUGUGAUUACAAAGGAGCUAUCAUUUUCCUUGAGCUGUUGAUCAUCCCAUCUGUCCCUGAGAACCUCCUAUCCUUGUAAACCUUGCAUAUGCAAAAAUAUUGCCAAGUCCCAUGCAAUAUUUUUGAAUUAUGAUUUAUUCAUUUUCUUGCUUUUCUGAGGGAUAAAAUCCAAAGGCAUAUCUAGCCAUCUCCAAAAUUCAUGAGAAUUGGUGGAGUUGAUAUUUAUGUCUAACACAAGCUCUGGCAAAGAUAUUUGCCAUAAUUAAAUAUGGAAAAAUGUCUUUUCCUAUUCAAUACCAAUAUUGCAUUUCUGCCACUUCCUAAAGGAACUACUAUUUUUAUAGCAGGAAAAUUCUCACAUAAAUUGUGGAGCUUGCCCUUGCUAUAUAAUCACAAGUUCCAUCCUUGUUCCAUGUUCCAUAGUUCAAAAUUUUGGCACAUGAUCCAAUGCAAGUUUCUGCCUUCUCUGAAAUUUUGCAAAGGAAGUGCUUUAUUCCUAAUUACAAUUGAGCUGCAAUUUGGUAGGGUGAUUAACCUUCAUAAAUCACACAUGAAUACCAAAGAUGAGCUCAAUCCAUUCAUCUUAGCUCCCUGUGCAAUUUUCCAAAGUUUCUGACCAGAAUGUAACUUUGUGAAGGAAGUACCUUCAUAGAGUUUUCAAAUGGGAUGAAACUUUUUCAUCCUCUCAAGUAUUCCAAAUCAUUAGCCUCCACCUAAAUUCAGUUCAAUUCAUUGAACUAUGAGAGCAUAUGAGCAAUUCUUGGUUUCUGUCCAAAUUUUCAGUUUGUGAAGCAAGUUUAUUUUAUCUUGCUCCAUUAUGGCUGAAAAUAUUCCUAAGCCUUCUCCUCUCCAUACAACCUAUCUCCAACCAAUUUUGGCUCAUUUCAUGUAGCCAGUAUUUUCUUGGAUUUUUCCAAAGUUUCUAGUCAGAUCUGAUGCUUGUGAAACAAGUACCAAUUUGGCAAGUCCAUUUGGUAUGAUCUUUUUGCAGCAUCUACAUAUGACCAAAUAAGGAAGCUUUGCCAAGUUUUAGCCCAAUCCAUCACUCCUAGUGAAUACGCUUUCCAAGUCAGAAAACGUAUUCCCUGGGCACUUCGGCUCAAAAUGCUUUUCCCUGUGCGGAAAACGUAUUCGGCCCAAAGGCACGUUCAGUUUUUCCUCCAGGGGCCUGUUUGCUGAAAAAAUUUCACCGAUAGGUCCCUGAGCUUCAACCCUCCGUAUCUUUUUACCAGUAGCUCCAAAUUAGGUGAUUCCAAAGACCACGUCUUUGUUUUGUCGAGCCCGUUCUGAUGGAAUCAUUUUCACCAUGUUUGCACAUUCUGAAAAUGACCAUUUUGCCCUUGCCCGUAAACAGCCCCCUCCAAGAGAGAACUGUUUCCGGCAAAUCUUUCCGCGAUCGUUCCGCACUUUUUCCGGUGUAAUCCUCAACCCCAGGCAAGCCAACCUCUUAUCACGAGCCCCGAACUCGCAUGUUGACUUUGCUGGCACCUCGCGUGUGUGCUUAGUUGCAGUAGUUUUUGUCUGUUUCGUCUGCCGUUAUUUCAGUUGUGAUAUAUGUUAGUACUGCUUGCUUACCUCUCAUGAUAGCUUUUUCCAUGCUAGUUAUAUUGUUGUUGAUAAUAUCAUGCUUCUGUCUAGUUUAGUUCAUGCCAGUAGUCUUGAUGUUAUGAUGAUUUUGUUGCACCUUCAAUAAGCUAGUAUCUAGUAUUGUUAUGUUUCAUAUGCUAUAACUGUUCACUUGAGUAGCUUGAUAUUUGUUAAUGCAUUUGUUAGUUGCAUGUUCAUUGUUGCAUUCUUGUUGAAUAUGCUCAUAAUAUUGAUGAUGUUGGAGAAGUUAAUAAUAUGACUUAAUAACAAACCUCCUCCGCCAUCACUGGGAUAUCAUAGUGCCACCAAAUCGAGCUUUCUCCAGUGCAACCACAUUUACCUUGUGGGAAGGUCCUAGCUGGGUCUAGUGUCAUGCCUCUCGCCGGUGCCUCCCGCGAGGGAAGGUUAUGGGCGCGCUUACCCUGAUCAGGUAGGCGGACAUAAGCCUUGUGUGCCCGGGUUUGGUUUUGAGCUCAUGUCCUCGUUUGGGACCGUUUUUCCACGACGGUGGCCGUCGGUACCUUUGGUAGGUAUGGGGCCACCCAGGACCGAACCCUUAAGGGGUGUUGGUCGGAGUGGCCGGGAGGGCGUCAUGGCAGUAGAUCGGUUUUGUCGGAAUGCUUUGGUCCGCGUGUAUGGGAGUGCGAGACUAGGGUUCCGUGUGUGGGUAAAGUGCGCUACCUCUGCAGAGUGUAUUCAAUCUAUCGAUAGCCGCGUCCUCGGUCAUGGGUACAGGUUCGUAGUAGGUCACACUAUCGGGUCUCGGUCGAAAUGGAGGAUAAAUCAACUAAUAAAUUAUGUGAUAACUAAUGUGAUGGCUUGGACUAUGAAAUAAUCGUGAGAAGUCACGAUGAUGUGUUGAUAUGACCCCGAGACGAGGUCUCGGUAAGUCAUGAUUGUGCUCCGAGGAGCCGUGGCAGAGUAAGUGAUUGUGGCAUAAGGUUAUUACAACAUGUCUUCAUGGGAGGUAACUGGUAGUUUAUUUUCAGCAUAGUUUCAUGAUGCCAUGCCCUGUUUUGAUAUGCUAUGCUUUGCUGUUGUUAUGAUAGAAGUAAGUUUGAUAUGCCAUCAUAGUUGAUGCUAUGAUGUUGUUCAUGCCUAGUUUGAAUUAUGAUUCUAGUUAAUAUCAUGCCAUGCUUAGAAGUUGUGUUGAUGUAGACUGUUGCAUAUGCUUGGUUCUUGCUUUGUCUUCUGUUUGUUUGGAUGCUAUGUAUUUGGUUGUCUUGCAAGUACAUUCAAUGUACUGACCUGGCGUGUCAUGCCAGUUUUGUAGGUCGUUCGCUUGUUCCGUCGUGCUAGGUCGUAAUCAUGCCAGUCCUGUGCGUUAUGGAGCCCAGCCUUAAUAAGACGCUGCCAAACCAAGACUUCCGCCGCCAUUUAUAUGGACUUCCGCUGCCAUGUAAAUAGCCUUAGGGCUAUGCCAGAAAAUUGUAUUCAUCAAUGAUGUAAUCUUAUACACAUGUAUUUGAUGAAUAUUAUUGUACCUGGAAUGCUGUAUCAUGGACCUGUCGUGCGUCAGGCGUAAUCCCGGGCUGACGUGCGAAGGCCCCCUGCUCCAUGCGGAUCAGGGUGCCACAGGAGAUGGUAUCAGAGCAGCCAGGCUGGCAUAGGUUAUCCUAGCAUUAGAUCACCGCUACCAUCAACCCAUAAUGACCCUAAGGGAUUUGACCCAUCCCUGGCAUCCGUCAUGGCCACUGUUAAUCUACAGGUGGCGCAGUCGGGACCAACACGUCCUUACCCCGCUGUCCCCGCCUAGUUAUACGUGGAUUGAAUAGCAACCCUAUCCUUUCUGGUCGGCCGCACCGCGUACCCUUCACCAUUAAGGAAAAGGGGCCACACCAUGCGGGCAUGUCCCGCAUAGCCGCCUAUAAAAUCCCCCUUUCUGCUAGCCGUAUCGCUCACCCCUCAGUCAGCCAUGUCCCUGCAGAAAAGCUUAGCUAGUAGCUCCCCAGCCAUGACUAGCACCUUCAAAGCUCCCAAGUUUUACACCUGCACCUUUGCCGUCAACCACCCUGGCUUCCCACCCCUUCUUACCGAGAUGCUCACCAAAGCCUUUGGCUAUAAGGCUAGCCCCGAUUACCUGGUGUUCCAAUCGACGGCCGUCCCUCACCUUCACCGCUAUGAUGCAAGAGUGCGCAUCAGCCUAGGUCCCGCAGUAGAUGGCUAGCCUUUGGUUUUUCAGGGUAGAGCCACGCCUACCUCUGAUUUAGCCAUUCAGGCCGCUGCUGUGGAAGCUAUCCUAUACCUCUAAACCAAGAUCCCGCAAGUGGCAGAGAGGCGGGAGUUCUGCUUUUUCCCCGUGGUGACAGAAGCAGGAAUUCAGUCUUCUCCCACUAUCCAAGGAGAUGACCCCGCAAUCGCUCGCCUGGUGCAAUAUAUCACUGCCCAGGGGAUGAUGAUUUCUAAGAUGCUCGCCGAAUUUAGAACCCUGGACGACGAUGCGGUACGAGUUGUUAAGGAAGCUUACCAUGAGGCUCGUAAAUUCGCAUCUCAAGCCGUUCACCCCAUGCCAUCCGAACCAGUGCUACCCUCUUAGCCUGUGUUGUGGCCUAGACCCAACAUCAUCACCCUCGACAAGUCUCUUUUCUGGAUCCAUCAGCAGCAUCUGCUUGGAUCAAUUUUAGCCACACCUCCAGCAGUCGAACCCCAACCCAUAGUAGUGUCGGACGUUGAAGAUGGAGAUUGGCUCAGUCUUUGUCCUCCCGGAGAGCCCCAGCAAGGCCAGUCCUCUGCAUGACCUCAGUCACGCAGUGAGAUGACUCUGCGAGUAGGUCAGUCAGUCGGUUCAUCUCCGAUAUGAGGAUAGAACUAUGUAUCCUGGAGUGAGUAGUUUCGUUUAGCGCGUAGAGCGUUCGUGCUUUGUUGUACUGUUUGUAACCCGUAAUGUGUUUGUGUAUGCUUGCUUGCUUUUGAAUUUUUGUGCUUGUUUUUGUUUGUCUCUCCGUCAAACAGAGAUGUUUGACAGGGUUGGCAAUGUGUGCUAACGAGAUUUUAAUCAGUAGAUCACAUACACUAAAUAACAUUGGCUCGUCCCAAGUCUUUAAUAAAAUGCGCGCUGGUGUAGGUAUAUGUAUGCCAGGAGUACAUAUACCCACUAGCAUUAAAACACCUUAGUAUUAUUUGUCUGAUGUGUUUUUCAUUGCAUGUUUAUUGCACCUGUGUGUUGUUAGUUUAGACUGCAUUGCAUACUGCACACAUACCCGGUUCACCCACGAGUGCAUUUAGGGCAGUACUCGGGGAAAACGCAAAGUCACAUCCCUAUCUCUAUCUGUGCAUACCCCGUGUGCCAGAUUUUCCAAACACAGCGCCUCGAAGAGGCAUUUUCAUUUGGCCAUUUCUCGUCCCUAAUUCUUUUUCGUUAACCCAAUUGCAUUUUAGGAGAAACGUUGCCAGCUUUAUUUCACUCGAUCUAGUACAACCCCCCGAUACAUAUUUCAACUCCGCCUCUACCCUGACACCUACAUUUCGUGGAGCAAUCCGCGAAAUUUUCCCGUGUCCUAGUCUGAUUCCUGAGCUGGCACAUCCCCCUCACCCGCAUCCGAACCAAACCAUCACCACCGUCACCGCCUUGAGUGGCGCAGGUAGAUCGCCACCACCGUUCCACCGCAGCACGCGAUUACUCCGCCGGCGCAACACGAUGGAGGAUCAAGCGUGGCAGAGGACCACCCCGUGCACCAUCUUCUUCCACACCUCGAGCCACCGCAGCUGGCCGCGCGUUGCCUCGAGCUCGCUCAUACAUGAUGAUCAUCAGCAGGAUGAUCGACGAGCCAAUCAGAGUGCCCAGCAGUGCAGCUAGGAACCACCGCAACGCCACCAGGAACACAACCUCGCCGAAGGAGCUCGGCUCGAUUUCGUCCAAACCGAAUAGGUAGUAGAGCGGCAUUGUGUUUGUGCAUUGGAGGAGAGUCGCGCUGCCGUUUUUAUAGCCCAACUCCGGUGUACGAUGAGCGAGGUCCAGGAAAACCGCUCGUCGCUCGAUCACUGGCGUCCAGGAGGCGAAUCCGCGAGCAGUACCGACAUGGUGCUGGCCCGCGACAUGAGUGCUCGCUGCACCAGUGUCGUGCACGCCGCGCACUACGACACUAGGGUCCUCAUCGCCCUAGGAGCUAGAUGCGCGCUGCGCCAAGCCACACGCGGAGCAGCAUCAUAGGAGAAGCAACUAGCCGGAGGUAGAAGGAGCCUGCCAGUGGGCCCUGGACCCACGUGUCAGCAGGUGAAACCACUGUUCAUUGGGGUGCAUCCAGCAUUUUUCGGGAGUCUGAUCUCGAGUGCCCGUACCCGUGGAUAUAACCGUGUUUGCCCAUAUCUCUCCCUGGGUGUACCACUUAUCGGUGCCCCAACUCGUUCGAAUCCGACCAAAGGGUUAAAAUUAACCCCGAGGCUUUUCCCCGGAGUAGUUAUCUUUGCAAUUGUGCUGUAACCCUAGGAAUCUCGAGGACGAGAUUCUUUUUAAGGGCGGAAGGUUUGUAACAGCCCCAAAAUUGGGUUAUCAAUUUUUGAGUUGUUAUUCCUUCCUGGCACUCAUUUUCAAAAUUUUCUCCUGAGUUUGCUGGAUGACUCUGAGAAAUUUUUGCCAUUUCCAACCUUUCAAAACCUUGCUCAUGUCUUUUUCAGUGGGCAAGACCUCAUUUGCCUCAGCUCAAACCCUCUCAAACCCUAAUUCCAAAUUGUUGGAAUUUAAAGAUGGCCUUUGUGAUUACAAAGGAGCUAUCAUUUUCCUUGAUCUGUUGAUCAUCCCAUCUGUUCCCUGAGAACCUCCUAUCCUUGUAAACCUUGGAUAUGCAAAAAUAUUGCCAAGUCCCAUGCAAUAUUUUUGAAUUAUGAUUUAUUCCUUUUCUUGCCUUUCCGAGGGAUAAAAUUCAAAGGCAUAUCUAGCCAUCUCCAAGAUUCAUGAGAAUUGGUGGAGUUGAUAUUUAUGUCUAAUCCAAGCUAUGGCAAAGAUAUUGGCCAUAAUUAAAUAUGGAAAAAUGCCUUUUACUAUUUAAUACCAAUAUUGCAUUUCUGCCACUUCCUAAAGGAACUACUAUUUUUAUAGUAGGGAAAAUUCUCACAUAAAUUGUGGAGCUUGCCCUUGCUAUAUAAUCACAAGUUCCAUCCUUGUUCCAUGUUCCAUAGUUCAAAAUUUUGGCACAUGAUCCAAUGCAAGUUUCUGCCUUCUCUGAAAUUUUGCAAAGGAAGUGCUUUAUUCCUAAUUCCAAUUGAGCUGCAAUUUGGUAGGGUGAUUAACCUUCAUAAAUCACACAUGAAUACCAAAGAUGAGCUCAAUCCAUUCAUCUUAGCUCCCUAUGCCAUUUUCCAAAGUUUCUGACCAGAAUGUAACUUUGUGAAGGAAGUACCUUCAUAGAGUUUUCAAAUGGGAUGAAACUUUUUCAUCCUCUCAAGUAUUCCAAAUCAUUAGCCUCCACCUAAAUUCAGUUCAAUUCAUUGAACUAUGUGAACAUAGGAGCAAUUCUUGGUUUCUGUCCAAAUUUUCAGUUUGUGAAGCAAGUCUAUUUUAUCUUGCUCCAUUAUGGCUGAAAAUAUUCCUAAGCCUUCUCCUCUCCAUACAACCUAUCUCCAACCAAUUUUGGCUCAUUUCAUGUAGCCAGUAUUUUCCUGGAUUUUUCCAAAUUUCUGGUGAGAUCUGAUGCUUGUGAAACAAGUACCAAUUUGGCAAGUCCAUUUGGUAUGAUAUUUUUGCAGCAUCUACAUAUGACCAAAUAAGGAAGCUUUGCCAAGUUUUAGCCCAAUCCAUCACUCCUAGUGAGUGCUUCUUCAUCAUUUGCUUUCUGGGUCAGAUUUGGCAUUUGAACUGCAGCUAUGCUAAAUCCUUGCCCAAAUCCCUUCCAACUUUCCAGGACCGUAGUCCUUGCUAUACUAAACCUCCUAGACGACCAGUUUUGCCCUUAACCUUUCUGUGUUGAUCGCCAGGAUGUUGCCAAGUUUGCAACAGCAAACUUGUCGAGCCUGUUUCCCUCUGCUCACUACACCUUUGCUCGUUCCAUCACUUCAGUCUUAAUGAGCGUUGGAGGGACUACGCUGUAGACAUCAUUUGGCACCAAGUAGACGACCAGAUUAUGCGUUGUCGGUGGUGACCACGGGCAGUGCCAGCCAAAUCGGUGGUCUAGCCACUGCUGGCCACAGUAGUGCAUCUCCGGCUAGCUCUGGCUUGUCCAAGCUUGUCAACCAGCUCAGCCUCAUCGUCGCCGUGCGCCUUGGCCCGUUUCCCCCUUCGUUUGCUUCCUCGUUGAGCCAUCGCCGUCGCUGAGCACAGUGCACGCCCGUGCACCGUCGUCUUCCUCGUUCUUGUCCCCUUCUCCCUCUCAUCCGCGAGCGCCCCUCGUCUCCGUGAGCCCCUGCGCGUCGUCCGCAUCCCCCUCGUCGUGUCACCAUCGUUUCCCGUGGCCUUUGGCCGUGCAUGCAUGUCGCCGGCGCGCGGACACGUAGCCGUGCCGCGUGUCACCUCCUCCCCUCCCCUAGAGCACAUCCCCGCGGCUAUUUAAGCCCGUCCCGAGCUCCCUCGCAGUCCUCAAGCCUCCCCAAGCACUUCACUCGUCCCCGGAGUCGCUCUCCGAUCCCCACCAUCGCCAUGGCCGCAGUUUCAGGCUCUGCUCGAUCUCGGCAAUGCCGUGCCCCCCUCGCCGUUCCACCACCACCUAUGCGUUCCCCGAGGUCCGGCGCACCUCCCCGUAGCCUUGCCCACCUAGUUCCCCCACCGGAGCCCCCUGUUCGCUGGAGUCCGAAGACCACCUCUGCCGCGAGCCCUGCUGCUCCUUCUCCCGUGCUCCUCGCCGGCAACGGACACCACCACGGGAUGCGCCUCUUGCUCCUGAGCUCGUGGAUAGGUCGGCCGUCGUCUGAGGCGGCCGGAGCCGCCGGCAAUCGCAGUGGAGGCGGGCGUCUCCCUCGGCCAGGCGCGCGUACGCGCAGGAGGAAGAAGCCAGGCCAGGCGGGCCCCACCUUACGGGACCCACCUGUCGGUGAGAGGAAGGCGUGGCCCCGCUAAUCACGUCGAAUAAGUGGACGCGCCCGCCCGCGGAAGCCAUUUCCCUACUCUGGAAACGUAUUCCUCGUGAAUACGCUUUCCAAGUCAGAAAACGUAUUCCCUGGGCACUUCGGCUCAAAAUGCGUUUCCCUGUGCGGAAAACGUAUUCGGCCCAAAGGCACGUUCAGUUUUUCCUCCAGGGGCCUGUUUGCUGAAAAAAUUUCACCGAUAGGUCCUUGAGCUUCAACCCUCCGUAUCUUUUUACCCGUAGCUCCAAAUCAGGUGAUUUCAAAGCCCACGUCUUCGUUUCGUCGAGCCCGUUCUGAUGGAAUCAUUUUCACCAUGUUUGCACAUUCUAAAAGUGACCAUUUUUCCCUUUCCCGUAAACAGCCCCCUCCGAGAGAGAACUGUUUCCGACAAAUCUUUCCGCGAUCGUUCGCACUUUUUUCGGAGUAAUCCUCGACCCCAGGCAAGCCAACCUCUUAUCAUGAGCCCCAAACUCGCAUGUUGAAUUUGCUGGUACCUCGCGUGUGUGCUUAGUUGCAGUAGUUUUUGUCUGUUUCGUCUGCCGUUAUUUCAGUUGUGAUAUAUGUUAGUACUGCUUGCUUACCUCUCAUGAUAGCUUUUGCCAUGCUAGUUAUAUUGUUGUUGAUAAUAUCAUGCCUCUGUCUAGUUUAGUUCAUGCCAGUAGUCUUGAUGUUAUGAUGAUUUUGUUGCACCUUCAAUAAGCUAGUAUCUAGUAUUGUUAUGUUUCAUAUGCUAUAACUGUUCACUGGAGUAGCUUGAUAUUUGUUAAUGCAUUUGUUAGUUGCAUGUUCAUUGUUGCAUUCUUGUUUAAUAUGCUCAUAAUGUUGAUGAUGGUGGAGAAGUUAAUAAUAUGACUUAAUAACAAACCUCCUCCGCCAUCACUGGGAUAUCAUAGUGCCACCAAAUCGAGCUUUCUCCAGUGCAACCACAUUUACCUUGUCGGAAGGUCCUAGCUGGGUCUAUUGUCAUGCCUCUCGCCGGUGCCUCCCGCGAGGGAAGGUUAUGGGCACGCUUACCCUGAUCAGGCAGGUGGACAUAAGCCUUGUGUGCCCGGGUUUGGUUUUGAGCUCAUGUCCCCAUUUGGGACCGUUUUGCCACGACGGUGGCCGUUGGUACCUUUGGUAGGUACGGGGCCACCCAGGACCGAACCCUUAAUGGGUGUUGGUCGGAGUGGCCGGGAGGGCGUCAUGGCAGUAGAUCAGUUUUGUCGGAACGCUUUGGUCCGCACGUAUGUGAGCGCGAGACCAGGGUUCCGUAGUGUGGGUAAAGUGCGCUACCUCUGCAGAGUGUAUUCAAUCUAUCGAUAGCCGCAUCCUCGGUCAUGGGCACAGGUUCGUAGUAGGUCACACUAUCGGGUCUCGGUCGAAAUGGAGGAUAAAUCAGCUAAUAAAUUAUGUGAUAACUAAGAUGUGAUAACUAAUGUGAUGGCUUGGACUAUGAAAUAAUCAUGAGAAGUCACGAUGAUGUGUUGAUAUGACCCCGAAACGAGGUCUUGGUAAGUCACGAUUAUGCUCCAAGGAGCCGUGGCAGAGUAAGUGAUUGUGGCAUAAGGUUAUUACAACAUGUCUUCAUGGGAGGUAACUGGUAGUUUAUUUUCAGCAUAGUUUCAUGAUGCCAUGCCCCGUUUUGAUAUGCUAUGCUUUGCUGUUGUUAUGAUAGAAGUAAGUUUGAUAUGCCAUGAUAGUUGAUGCUAUGAUGUUGUUCAUGCCUAGUUUGAAUUAUGAUUCUAGUUAAUAUCAUGCCAUGCUUAGAAGUUGUGUUGAUGUAGACUGUUGCAUAUGCUUGGUUCUUGCUUUGUCUUCUGUUUGUUUGGAUGCUAUGUAUUUGGUUGUCUUGCAAGUACAUUCAAUGUACUGACCUGGCGUGUCAUGCCAGUUUUGUAGGUCGUUCGCUUGUUCCGUCGUGCUAGGUCGUAAUCAUGCCAGUCCUGUGCGUUAUGGAGCCCAGCCUUAAUAAGACGCUGCCAAACCAAGACUUCCGCCGCCAUUUAUAUGGACUUCCGCUGCCAUGUAAAUAGCCUUAGGGCUAUGCCAGAAAAUUGUAUUCAUCAAUGAUGUAAUCUUAUACACAUGUAUUUGAUGAAUAUUAUUGUACCUGGAAUGCUGUAUCAUGGACCUGUCGUGCGUCAGGCGUAAUCCUGGGCUGACGUGCGAAGGCCUCCUGCUCCAUGCGGAUCGGGGUGCCACACUGCAAAUUUAAGAUAGCCACACACACACUGUUAUUUUUUGUCCAGCCAACUAAAUAAAGAAGAGUAACUUCAACUAACCUCACAAAUAGAAAACUUGAACUAAGAUAAUGGAAACUGAUUGUGUCAUAUUACAUUCAGGUGUGCAUUUUGUUACACAAAGCUGCUGCAGACCAACAAAAAUCCCUGUGCAAGAAAUAUUGGUGAAAUCACCAUAUUUGAGCAUUUUAUACUACUAGUCAUUAACCCGUGCAUUCGCACGUGCUAAUGUUUAUCUUGUGUGGCAUUGUAGGUUUUCACCUCUUAACUUUCUACCUAGAAAUCUUUACCAGUAGUCUAUAGUUUUGUGCGAUGUUUGUUUCUACCUUUUAAUGAACCUUUUCAUCUAAAUUUGCAGUUCAACAUCGAACUCGCUACCUAUAGUACAAUACUCGAGCGAUAAAAAUAAAUAGUUCAAAAGUUUUGACAUGACGACUUUCAUUUUUAGAACAAUAUAUACCAGGAAAUAACUAAAUUUUUUUAGGGUGAGGAAAUAACUAAAUUGAUUUUCUUGUAAAACUUAAACUAUGGCCUGCUAUCUUACUAAUAGUAACAUUGUAAUUGUUCUCACUGUUCACAUUACAUUCAAUUUCUAUAUGAUUUAGAUAAAAAUAAGCUAAACAUCUCCCACAAAAAGGUAACCAUAUUUUAAUAUAUAAUGAAGGGAAUUAUAAUGUUUUGUCUGCCGCUUGAGCAUACAGUUCUUUCUUUGUUAGGAAAAAAAAAUUGAUCCAGAGUCUAAAAUAGAUGCCCUACAGUAUAAGAAAUAAGGUUGGGGUUUGAAACAUAUUGGGUUCUAUAUAGAUCAGUCCAAAGGAACUGACUUGACUCAUCCUCAUAUCUCGACAAACUGUUCUCAAAUGGGGUAUAUCGAAGCAUGUACAUUAGUAGAUUAAAGUAUGGUUUGAAUAAGCAUGGAAAAACAUUAACACUGCUAUGUAGUGAACGCUCCACAAAAGUUUCAAGCGCACCAUACCUUGCAUUGCAUUGAUGCGUUCGCAAGAAUUAAAGCAUUGCUCUGGUUCCCUGCAAGAGCAUGUCUUUGACAGCAAGCUAGAGGCCAACACCUGUAACUACACUGGAUUAAUCGUACUCAGCCCUUCCUUUAAACUAGCUGCAAGUGUUUCCUUCCCACCCACGUGUGCAUCGCACUCGAUCGUACUCACCUCCGGUACAACGGACGCCCUUUCCCCUCUAGGCGAAUUGCUUCCAGCAGACGAACAUGCCACCAGUGAAAAUAUUCUGAAAGAUAUAGCCAUCUCGUCUCUCCGAUUAACACCCCACGCAGAUCAUUACCUGAAAGAUAUAGCCAUCUCGUCGGUUAUGUUUCCUAGGGGACUAAUGAAAGAUGACAAGCUGCAUAAAAAAUAAUCAUACAUUGAAAUUAAUUAAUUAGAAGGGAAAACGGUGUGAGCUGUACAUAUAAUGAACAUUGUUGUAUGUAAUGAGAUGCAUAGACAUGAACGAUGCAUAAGAACCAUGUUUCGCAUUGUCGCGAUUUCAAUCAGAGUCAUACAUGGUGGCAGUACUACGAGACAGGGAUAGAGGUACACAAGUAAGCGCUCAGUGUUAUGCAGUCUCAGAGACAGGAAGGAAAAGGGAGGGGACAAACUGUCAUGUUAGGCAUCCUCUGAUUAACAAGUGCAGCGACAUUGAUGUCGUUGCUGGGAUGUGGAUCAAGAUGAGUAAUCAAGGUAGCGUCGAUUGUCGUCAGAUUGGGCGGCAAAGAAUUCGCCAUGACCUGCCACAGAAAGAACCAAAUAGUGUAAGAGAAGAGCGGGUCAGAGGAGGAGAGUCUUGCUGAAUCGUCAGCGGCGUCGGAGUCAAGAUUGCUGAGGCGGAUCAGCACCACCAUGGCCGAGCUUGGAGCGGCGCGUGCAGAGACGUAGCGCGGGGCUGUAGGGUGACAAAGCGGAUGAGGCGCGGCCGCUGGCGACCUAUGGUAACUAGGGUUGCUGUGGCCCGCAUGUAGGGGCGCGGAGGAAGUCGCCAUGGCGGGGGAUCAAGGGGAGGGCAGUGAGGAGUAGCCGUUUCUGUGAGCGGCGGCGCAACAAGCGCCGGAGCAAGCCAGAAUCAGAGGUGGCGGCGGCGGCAACGUUGUGGUCACGGAGAGAAGAGAUUUGCUUGGCGGCGUGCUUCUUGGACGGAGGAGGUUGAGAUAAUGUGGAGAUUUUUUUCUGUGGAUACUGUGAAGGUGGGUACGGGGAGGUUAGCAAAUCAUGGGAGGUGGG
Molecule: long non-coding RNA, 14093 nt
Filed under: Triticum aestivum (bread wheat)
Lineage: Eukaryota; Viridiplantae; Streptophyta; Magnoliopsida; Poales; Poaceae
Description: long non-coding RNA (TAES_LNC018191)
Source: RNAcentral